Molecule: transfer RNA, 116 nt
Filed under: Nadsonia fulvescens var. elongata DSM 6958
Lineage: Eukaryota; Fungi; Ascomycota; Dipodascomycetes; Dipodascales
Rfam family: tRNA
About the family: Transfer RNA (tRNA) molecules are approximately 80 nucleotides in length. Their secondary structure includes four short double-helical elements and three loops (D, anti-codon, and T loops). Further hydrogen bonds mediate the characteristic L-shaped molecular structure. tRNAs have two regions of fundamental functional importance: the anti-codon, which is responsible for specific mRNA codon recognition, and the 3' end, to which the tRNAs corresponding amino acid is attached (by aminoacyl-tRNA synthetases). tRNAs cope with the degeneracy of the genetic code in two manners: having more than one tRNA (with a specific anti-codon) for a particular amino acid; and 'wobble' base-pairing, i.e. permitting non-standard base-pairing at the 3rd anti-codon position.
Source: Rfam by way of RNAcentral
GGUUGUUUGGCCGAGUGGUCUAAGGCGCCCGACUCAAGAGAUUUCUCUUAGCUGCUUUCAUAAGCAGGUGCAUUCGGGUCUCGCAAGAGGCGAGGGUUCAAAUCCCUCAGCAAUCA